RNAcentral lists this ribosomal RNA (379 nucleotides) under Massilia agrisoli. RNAcentral's name for it is "bacterial SSU rRNA". It matches the Rfam family "Bacterial small subunit ribosomal RNA", at positions 1 to 384 of the family's 1533-position model. The record is from RNAcentral. Lineage: Bacteria; Pseudomonadati; Pseudomonadota; Betaproteobacteria; Burkholderiales; Oxalobacteraceae.
AAACUGAAGAGUUUGAUCCUGGCUCAGAUUGAACGCUGGCGGCAUGCUUUACACAUGCAAGUCGAACGGCAGCGCGGGGCAACCUGGCGGCGAGUGGCGAACGGGUGAGUAAUAUAUCGGAACGUACCCAAGAGUGGGGGAUAACGUAGCGAAAGUUACGCUAAUACCGCAUACGAUCCAAGGAUGAAAGCAGGGGACCGCAAGGCCUUGUGCUCCUGGAGCGGCCGAUAUCUGAUUAGCUAGUUGGUAGGGUAAAGGCCUACCAAGGCGACGAUCAGUAGCUGGUCUGAGAGGACGACCAGCCACACUGGAACUGAGACACGGUCCAGACUCCUACGGGAGGCAGCAGUGGGGAAUUUUGGACAAUGGGCGCAAGCCU